UCAGAGAUCAAGGUGAUAAGCAGGCUACGUCACUGGAACCUUGUGCAGCUCCUCGGGUGGUGCCAUGGCCACGAGGAGCGCCUGCUGGUCUACGAACUCAUGCCCAACCGCAGCCUCGACAUACAUCUCCAUAGAGGCAAGGGCACCUUCCUCACAUGGCCAACAAGGAUGAAGAUAGUGUUGGACCUUGGGUCUGCAGUGCUCUACCUCCACGAGGGGUUGGAGCAAUGCGUGGUGCAUCGGGAUAUCAAGCCCAACAACGUCAUGUUUGACGAGUCCUUUGGAGCCAAGCUAGGCGGCUUCGGGCUCGCGAGGCUCAUAGACCACGCCAUCAGGAUGCAGUCGCUGACUAGGAUCUCAGGGACUCCACGCUACUUGGAUCCCGAGUGCAUCAUCACCGGCAUGGCUAGUGAUGAGCCCGAUAUGUAUAGCUUCGGUGUCGUACUGCUGGAGGUGGCAUGCGGCAGGAAGCCGAUGAGCAUACACUCCGACACCGACAAGAACAAGAACGGCGCGAUCUUCCGACUGGUCGAGUGGGCCUGGGACUAUGGCCAAGGAGCCAUCAUUGAGGCCGCCGACAAGAAGCUGAACGGCGACUACAAGGCGGCGGAAGUGGAGAGGGUGAUGAUCGUCGGGCUGUGGUGCGCGCACCCGGACCCAAGCGUGCGGCCGUCCAUCAGGGCAGCCAUGGCCAUGCUCCAGUCCAAGGUCGGGGAAGCCAGGAGUCAGCUGCCGGUGCUCCCCACCAAGAUGCCGGUGCCCAUGUAG
Molecule: ribosomal RNA, 768 nt
Filed under: Triticum aestivum (bread wheat)
Lineage: Eukaryota; Viridiplantae; Streptophyta; Magnoliopsida; Poales; Poaceae
Description: partial small subunit ribosomal RNA
Source: RNAcentral